This 751-nucleotide ribosomal RNA is filed under the name Tachygonetria sp. EAG-2014. RNAcentral describes it as "eukaryotic LSU rRNA". It matches the Rfam family "Eukaryotic large subunit ribosomal RNA", at positions 382 to 909 of the family's 3401-position model. RNAcentral also lists the same sequence under 1 other name. Lineage: Eukaryota; Metazoa; Nematoda; Chromadorea; Rhabditida; Oxyuridae. The record is from RNAcentral.
AAAAAGUCAGAGGGCGUGAACCGCUGAGAAGGAAGCGGAUAGAGUUGACGAAACACAGUGGCAUUCAUCCAAUCAGUGGUAUGNAAUGCUGUAUAGUUGUACUACCAUUUCGGUAGCAGCUAUAUGGUCAUGUUCGUACCCCUUACUUGGUUGGUGCUUUUGCCAUUGGUAUGCGCUGAGAGGUUCGCUGUGGUGCGUUAAUGCCGAUUCAAAGAGGACUAUGCUCGACUGAGUGUAGAAACCUUUGGCCGGUUGUGGACGUAUUCAUGGUGAAUUGCCGACUUCGCAGUAACAUCGCUUGCCAUUUUGGCGCAGUCGGCUGUUACGUGGCUAUAAUAAUUGUUGGCAGUCGCGUGCGACUUGCCUACAGUUGAUUGUGGCUCGUCGACGGUUCCUUUCGAUUGCGUUGGCGAUGUGUCUCGGUGUAAAAGUUGACCACCUAUCCGACCCGUCUUGAAACACGGACCAAGGAGUUUAGCAUAUGCGCAAGUCAUUGGGUGGCAAACCUAAAGGCGUAAUGAAAGUAAAGAUUGCUUUAAUGCAGUUGAUAUGGGAUCUACAUAGGGAUUAGCCUCAAAAACUGUACUAUGUAGCGCACCAUAGCCCCGUCCCCGUUGCUUGCAAUAGGGCGGAGGUAGAGCGCAUACGCUGAGACCCGAAAGAUGGUGAACUAUGCCUGAGCAGGAUGAAGCCACGAGGAAACUCUGGUGGAAGUCCGAAGCGGUUCUGACGUGCAAAUCGAUCGUUCUGA